GCGGGUGUAGUUCAAUGGCAGAACAUCAGCUUCCCAAGCUGAGAACGCGGGUUCGAUUCCCGCCACCCGCUCCG
This 74-nucleotide transfer RNA is filed under the name Actinomycetota bacterium. RNAcentral's name for it is "Actinobacteria bacterium tRNA-Gly". It matches the Rfam family "tRNA". Rfam says of the family: Transfer RNA (tRNA) molecules are approximately 80 nucleotides in length. Their secondary structure includes four short double-helical elements and three loops (D, anti-codon, and T loops). The record is from RNAcentral. Lineage: Bacteria; Bacillati; Actinomycetota.